GAUGAAAAACGUAGCGAAAUGCGAUACGUAAUGUGAAUUGCAGAAUUCAGUGAAUCAUCGAAUCUUUGAACGCAUAUUGCGCUCUUUGGUAUUCCGAAGAGCAUGCUUGUUUGAGUAUCAGUAAACACCUCAACCUCUUCUUGAUUUUUCAAAAGGAGGGUGGACUUGAGCUAUCCCAACAACCUUUACCGGUCGGCGGGCGGCUUGAAAUGCAGGUGCAGCUGGACUUUUAUCUGAGCUAAAAGCAUAUCUAUUUAGUCCUCGUCAAACAGGAUUAUUACUUUUGCUGCAGCUAACAUAAAGGAUAAUUGUCCUCUUUGCUGACUGAUGCAGGAUUUUACGACACUUUAUGUGUUGUUCAACUCGAUCUCAAAUCAAGUAAGACUACCCGCUGAACUUAAGCAUAUCAAUAAGCGGAGGA
This 421-nucleotide unclassified non-coding RNA is filed under the name soil metagenome. RNAcentral describes it as "partial contains 5.8S ribosomal RNA, internal transcribed spacer 2, and large subunit ribosomal RNA". The stretch from base 1 to 120 matches the Rfam family "5.8S ribosomal RNA", at positions 35 to 154 of the family's 154-position model. The record is from RNAcentral.